GGGUUCGAUUCCGGAGAGGGAGCCUGAGAAACGGCUACCACAUCCAAGGAAGGCAGCAGGCGCGCAAAUUACCCAAUCCCGACACGGGGAGGUAGUGACAAUAAAUAACAACACAGGGCUCUUUUGGGUCUUGUUAUUGGAAUGAGUACGAUUUAAAUCUCCUAACGAGGAACAAUUGGAGGGCAAGUCUGGUGCCAGCAGCCGCGGUAAUUCCAGCUCCAAUAGCGUAUAUUAAAGUUGUUGCAGUUAAAAAGCUCGUAGUUGAAUUUCAGGCCUGGCUGGACGGUCCGCCCUUCGGGUGAGUACUGUCUGUGGUCGGGUCCUACCUUCUGGCGAAGCGUCAUGGCCUUAACCGGCCGUGGCGGGGAACCAGGACUUUUACUGUGAAAAAAUUAGAGUGUUCAAAGCAGGCAAUCGCUUGGAUACAUUAGCAUGGAAUAAUGGAAUAGGACAAUGGUUCUAUUUGUUGGUUUCUAGGACCGUUGUAAUGAUUAAUAGGGAUAGUUGGGGGCAUUAGUAUUCAAUUGUCAGAGGUGAAAUUCUUGGAUUUAUUGAAGACUAACUACUGCGAAAGCAUUUGCCAAGGAUGUUUUCAUUAAUCAAGAACGAAAGUUAGGGGAUCGAAGACGAUCAGAUACCGUCGUAGUCUUAACCAUAAACUAUGCCGACUAGGAAUCGGGCGAUG
Molecule: ribosomal RNA, 685 nt
Filed under: uncultured Glomeromycotina
Lineage: Eukaryota; Fungi; Glomeromycota
Description: SSU rRNA
Rfam family: Eukaryotic small subunit ribosomal RNA
Source: RNAcentral